Molecule: long non-coding RNA, 1421 nt
Organism: Mercenaria mercenaria
Lineage: Eukaryota; Metazoa; Mollusca; Bivalvia; Venerida; Veneridae
Exons: 3
Source: RefSeq, a predicted model, not a curated record
CAGAGGCAGGCAAAGUUUCAGACUGAACACAAACAUAAAGCCAAGGGCAGAGGCAGGCAAAGCUUUAGAUCAAACACAAACAUAAAGCCAUUGGCAGAGGCAGACAAAGUUUCAGACCAAACACAAACAUAAAGCCAUUAGUUUCAGACCAAACACAAGCAUAAAGCCAAGGGCAGAGGCAGGCAAAGCCUUAGACCAAACACAGACAUAAAGCCAAGGACAGAGGCAGGCAAAGCCUUAGACCAAACACAGACAUAAAGCCAAGGGCAGAGGCAGGCAAAGUUUCAGACCAAACACAGACAUAAAGCCAAGGACAGAGGCAGGCAAAGCCUUAGACCAAACACAGACAUAAAGCCAAGGGCAGAGGCAGGCAAAGUUUCAGACCAAACACAGACAUAAAGCCAAGGGCAGAUGCAGGCAACGUUUUAGACCACACACAGACAUAAAGCCAAGGGCAGAGGCAGGCAAAGUUUCAGACCAAACACAGACAUAAAGCCAAGGGCAGAGGCAGGCAAAGUUUCAGACCAAAUACAGACAUAAUGCCAAGGGCAGAGGCAGGCAAAGCCUUAGACCAAACACAAACAUAAAGCCAAGGGUAAAGGCAGGCAAAGUUUUAGUAAAUGAAAUGACACUUGUUAAUAGUUGAAGGCUUGUAUUAUGUGGAAAGCUGUAGAAAAAAUGUCUGAGGUCCUGCAGUCGAACGACAUCAGACCCACAAGGUCCAGCCACGAUGACAGCAUCAGACCCACAAGGUCCAGCCACAAUGACAGCAUCAGACCCACAAGGUCCAGCCACAAUGACAGCAUCAGACCCACAAGGUCCAGCCACGAUGACAGCAUCUGACUUACAAGGUCCUGCCAUUAGGAUGGCAUCAGCCUGACAAGGUCCUGAUGGGAGGACAGCAUUAGCCUGACAAGGGAAAUAUCAGAACUACAACAUAGUUUAAAGAUAAUACAACAUGGAAAGAGUCUGCAAGAGUUUCGUGCCGUGUCUCUGAAACCAUUAACAUAAUGGUCUUUGAUAACUUGUGUAAAACGCAACAGUGCAAGAUGACAAGCAAGUUACAUCGAAUUUACAAGCAACAGAGCAGGCAAAUUGCAUCAAAUUUACCAGCAACUGGUAAAGUAUGGAAGUAACAUUGAAUUUACCAGCAACAAAAUAGGCAAGUUCUAUUGAAUUUAGUAGCAACAAAGGCAAGUUACAUUGAUUUUACCAGCAACAGACCAGUCAGAAACAAGCUCAGGAAUAUUCUGACAAAUUAAGGGAAAAGUGACAAAUAAGGGUAAAGUGUCAGCAAAAUUUAAGAAAAAGGGAUGUGUUUCAAAUUGUUUUUGUCUUCCUUGAUAAAACAAUUUUAAUAGAUAGUGUUAAAGUCAUACAGUUCUUCAGGAUAUUGAGGAUUUUAAGGUAUAGCUAUGAAA